RNAcentral lists this ribosomal RNA (552 nucleotides) under uncultured Methanosaeta sp. RNAcentral describes it as "bacterial SSU rRNA". It matches the Rfam family "Archaeal small subunit ribosomal RNA", at positions 25 to 582 of the family's 1478-position model. The record is from RNAcentral. Lineage: Archaea; Methanobacteriati; Methanobacteriota; Methanomicrobia; Methanotrichales; Methanotrichaceae.
UACUGCUAUCGAGGUUCGACUAAGCCAUGCGAGUCGAAUGUAGCAAUACAUGGCGUACUGCUCAGUAACACGUGGACAACCUACCCUUAGGACAGGUAUAAACCCGGGAAACUGGGUAUAAUCCCCGAUAGUCCUCGGCUGCUGGAAUGCAUCGAGGACGAAAGCUCCGGCGCCUAAGGAUGGGUCUGCGGCCUAUCAGGUAGUAGUGGGUGUAACGUACCUACUAGCCUACGACGGGUACGGGUUGUGGGAGCAAGAGCCCGGAGAUGGAUUCUGAGACACGAAUCCAGGCUCUACGGGGUGCAGCAGGCGCGAAAACUUUACAAUGCCGGCAACGGCGAUAAGGGGACCUCGAGUGCCAGGUUACAAACCUGGCUGUCGUGAUGCCUAAAAAGCAUUGCAUAGCAAGGGCCGGGCAAGACCGGUGCCAGCCGCCGCGGUAACACCGGCGGCUCGAGUGGUAACCGUUAUUAUUGGGUCUAAAGGGUCUGUAGCCGGCCGGAUAAGUCUCUUGGGAAAUCCAGCAGCUCAACUGUUGGGCUUUCAGGAGAU